CGUAGGGUGCGAGCGUUAAUCGGAAUUACUGGGCGUAAAGCGUGCGCAGGCGGUUUUGUAAGACAGAUGUGAAAUCCCCGGGCUCAACCUGGGACCUGCAUUUGUGACUGCAAGGCUAGAGUACGGUAGAGGGGGAUGGAAUUCCGCGUGUAGCAGUGAAAUGCGUAGAUAUGCGGAGGAACACCGAUGGCGAAGGCAAUCCCCUGGACCUGUACUGACGCUCAUGCACGAAAGCGUGGGGAGCAAACAGGAUUAGAUACCCUGGUAGUCCACGCCCUAAACGAUGUCAACUGGUUGUUGGGUCUUUACUGACUCAGUAACGAAGCUAACGCGUGAAGUUGACCGCCUGGGGAGUACGGCCGCAAGGCUG
RNAcentral lists this ribosomal RNA (370 nucleotides) under uncultured organism. RNAcentral describes it as "bacterial SSU rRNA". It matches the Rfam family "Bacterial small subunit ribosomal RNA", at positions 526 to 896 of the family's 1533-position model. The record is from RNAcentral.